Taeniopygia guttata (zebra finch) is the source of this 2040-nucleotide non-coding RNA. NCBI's taxonomy places the organism in Eukaryota, Metazoa, Chordata, Aves, Passeriformes, Estrildidae. The record is from RefSeq and is a predicted model, not a curated record.
CGGGCGGCGCGCAGGCGCAGCGCGGCUGUGGCGGCGCUGAGGGGAGCGGAGCGGGGCUGGGCGCGUCACCCCCUGAGUGAGCUCCCCGCAGGCGGUGGGCAGCGGCUUUGCGGCCGGUCUGGGUGGCCGGAGGCGGCCGCUCGGGUGCGGGUGCGCCCGCCAGCCCGCCCGGUAACGAGCCGGCACGAGGAGCCGCUGAGAGAGCAGUUAGUGUUGGUGGUCAUAGCGGAGCCGGAAUAACCUUAUGGAACUCUUAACUUGUUUUCAGAGACUCCCUCUAAGCCCUCCGUGUACAAGAAGCGGAAUAUCUCCGCUACCGUUAGCGUUUAUGACUCCCCCGGCCUCCCUUCCCUCCCCUCAGGUGCGCGAGCGGCUCCCGAGGGGAGUUUUAAUUUGCUGCUUACAGGGGAGCCGGAUUAAAAUCCUCACUGGAUUUUAAUUUGCUUAAAAAAAAAAAAAAUCACCCCGAACCUUCGGCGUACAAGGGACCUGAAUACCUGAAUAUCUGUGCUGCAUAUACCGCAUUUAUAACUCCUCCGCGUGCCCCUUCCCGCCCCUCAGGUGCGCGAGCGGCUCCUGAGGGAAGGUGGGGACAGGGGCUGAUCCUCCUUUAUUUUAACAUCUUUUCCAGGUGUGUUUCUGCCAUGGUUUUAAUAAAAAACAGCCAGGUAGCGCUUUUUCAUCUUCCCCUCCUGUUUCUGCCGGCUGUGUCGCUCCCCGCGGUACCUGAAGUGAAGGAAAAGCGGUGGUUGUGGAGUUUUCUCAGAGUUUUGGGGUUUGUUGGUGGGUCUGGGAAGUGAGUUAUGUACAGCGUAAUAGGGUGUUGAGAGGGAAGAAAAUUCACAUAGAAACAGCAGAACUUGGGAAAAAAUAUUCUCUUAGAGUACUUCAGGGAAAUGCCCCCAUCAGCACACAGGUGUAAGCUAUUAUUUGGGUAAUAAGCACUUAAUUAUUCACCUACUGCAAAUGGAAAAUAAUAAAAAAACUAUUGGUGUUUGUAAUUGCAAUAGAAGGAUGAAAAACUAAAUUAUGAGCGGGUUGUUGUUCUUUGUGUUCUUUGUGCUAGCGUAGCUCCUAUAAAGUGUUGGCUCUGGUUUGUGUAGAAAUCAGAAUUCCUGACCUGCAGGAACUCUAAGGAAUGAGCUCACCUUCUCCUGCAUGAGGAGUUUCUAGGCUGCAGCAAAAUGCAGAUGACUUGACAGUGGAAAUUCUUAUUGCCUCCAAAAGUAACAUUUUAUGAGCUACAGUUUUAUCAGUGCUGCGUGCUCUUACUUCAGCACAUUAUCCAUCUUAUGUGGAGCUGCAGAACUGUUCAAACCUGCUCUCAACUAAAAACCCAGAAAACCACCAAAAUCUCACACCUGUAGCCCACCAGGCAGAGAUGCUGCAUUCCAGUGCUGGAGGGACUGAUAAUUGAGUGAGCCGAGCUGCACCUCACAAAAAUGACUUUCUACCUUUGUCAUGUCUUCAAAACGAGAAGAUAGCUGUACUUGCCAUUCCUCCUUGUGGAUAUGAAAACUGAUCAGAGAAAAAAAAAAUCUGAAAACUAGAAGUUUUCCUUCUCUCCAUUGCUGUGCCACUGCUAAGCCUCACAAAAGCCCUCUCCUGGUUUCCAUAGAAAUGGCCUGUCUGCUGAUUGGAGAUGGAGCCAGAAUCUGCUGCUGCUUCCCACACAAUCCAGUGCCACCAGUGUCCUUGCCCUGUCACAGGCACACAGCCACCUUUGGGAAGGAAUGAAGGACCUGCUGAAGGAGGAUCUUGAUUGGGAUGGGACAAGUGAGGACGUGAGCUGAAGGUGAGUAAUGGUCCACUGAAAAUACUGCAGAACUUGUUGAGGUGUGAAAUGUUCUGUGGUAACUGGACUGGCUUUGGAUGUGAAUCCCCAGGGUUGGAUUGAAAGCUGUGCACACAAGCUGUUUACCCUUGGAAGUUGCUCUGAAUCAUGUCUACUCAGUGUAAUAAGUCAAGCUACCUCAUUCAGGUUUGUUGUGUUUUCUUGUGCAGACAGCAAAGGAAACAUUUCUGUCACCGUUUUCUAUA